AAAAAGUGUGUGAAGGCUCAAAGAUACAAAACAAAACUCACAUUCACUUUCAAUGUUGCUCACAAACUCUUAGCUGUGUCUUUGUGUGUGUUUUCCUUUUCAUGCUUCCUCCACACAAUCUAUACCUUUUGUAUAUAUCUCUCUCAUUCUUUAUCUUCAUUCAAGUUCGUAGGGACAUACAAUGAAAAUUCUUCUCAUUUUUCUCCUUAUUCUUCACAAACCCAUUUGGAUUAUUGCCUCACUUGUAGACCCUUUUGUUUCUUCACCUCAAAUUCCACCUUUUUCUCCAAUUCAUACAACAAUCACAAUGGAUGCUUCCUCUCCAGGUACAUUCUCUCUCUCCCGUAAACUUAAAUAAAAAUUAAUAUAUUUUUUUAUGAUAAAUUUUGAUCUUUGAAAAUUAAAAUGAACCGCGUUCAAAAUGUUCAAAAUAUGAGAGAUCAAUUUGUAUCUUUACUUUAAAAAUUAUUCAUUAUUAUUUUUAUAUUUUAGGAUGAAAUUGAAGAGAGAUAAUUAUCACUAAUAUUUUGAAGUUAAAAAAGAAUAGAAAAAAGUGUGUGAAGGCUCAAAGAUACAAAACAAAACUCACAUUCACUUUCAAUGUUGCUCACAAACUCUUAGCUGUGUCUUUGUGUGUGUUUUCCUUUUCAUGCUUCCUCCACACAAUCUAUACCUUUUGUAUAUAUCUCUCUCAUUCUUUAUCUUCAUUCAAGUUCGUAGGGACAUACAAUGAAAAUUCUUCUCAUUUUUCUCCUUAUUCUUCACAAACCCAUUUGGAUUAUUGCCUCACUUGUAGACCCUUUUGUUUCUUCACCUCAAAUUCCACCUUUUUCUCCAAUUCAUACAACAAUCACAAUGGAUGCUUCCUCUCCAGGUA
This 877-nucleotide long non-coding RNA is filed under the name Cicer arietinum (chickpea). Its description in RNAcentral is "long non-coding RNA (CARI_LNC001289)". Lineage: Eukaryota; Viridiplantae; Streptophyta; Magnoliopsida; Fabales; Fabaceae. The record is from RNAcentral.